AGAAGGCAGACCCGGAGAACUGAAACAUCUUAGUACCCGGAGGAAGAGAAAGAAAAAUCGAUUCCCUGAGUAGCGGCGAGCGAAACGGGAAGAGCCCAAACCAAUAAGCUUGCUUAUUGGGGUUGUAGGACACUCUAUACGGAGUUACAAAGGAAUAUGUUAGACGAAUCAUCUGGAAAGUUGAAUCAAAGAAGGUAAUAAUCCUGUAGUUGAAAAUAUAUUCUCUCUUGAGUGGAUCCUGAGUACGACGGAGCACGUGAAAUUCCGUCGGAAUCUGGGAGGACCAUCUCCUAAGGCUAAAUACUCUCUAGUGACCGAUAGUGAACCAGUACCGUGAGGGAAAGGUGAAAAGUACCCCGGAAGGGGAGUGAAAGAGAACUUGAAACCGUGUGCUUACAAGUAGUCAGAGCCCGUUAAUGGGUGAUGGCGUGCCUUUUGUAGAAUGAACCGGCGAGUUACGAUCUGAUGCAAGGUUAAGCAGG
RNAcentral lists this ribosomal RNA (482 nucleotides) under Staphylococcus sp. HMSC078A08. Its description in RNAcentral is "bacterial LSU rRNA". It matches the Rfam family "Bacterial large subunit ribosomal RNA", at positions 174 to 654 of the family's 2925-position model. The record is from RNAcentral. Lineage: Bacteria; Bacillati; Bacillota; Bacilli; Caryophanales; Staphylococcaceae.